GUUUGGUUUUACGGCAAAAAGCAGCGAACACUGUUAGUACUGUUGAUUCUUCACCUGCAUUGCAGCCAUUUCUGGAUUUAAAGAUGGUUUAUUGGUUGACGGGAUCCAAAAGGAAUGCGGUUUAAUACCUAGUGGACUGACCUGCUCUGCCAGAGGAUGGCGUUCUUGCCGGUGCUUGUUCUCGUCAUUUUGGCGUCGUUCGGAUCGACAGGCUUAGCGGGUAGUGACCGAUACAAGGACCCAACGGCGCCAUUGAACUAUAGGAUCAAAGACCUGAUGAGGCGGAUGACUCUGGAAGAGAAGAUUGGACAGAUGACACAAAUCGACCGUGUUGUUGCGACUCCAGAAAUUGUUAAGAAGUAUUUCAUAGGUAGUUUGCUGAGUGGAGGUGGAAGCAUGCCUCUUCCUCAAGCUACGCCAAAGGAUUGGAUUGACAUGGUUAAUAGCUUCCAGAAAGGCGCUAUGUCAACUCGUCUUCAAAUCCCAAUGAUCUACGGCAUCGAUGCUGUUCAUGGACAUAAUAACGUCUAUGAUGCUACACUUUUCCCUCACAAUGUUGGCCUUGGAGCUACUAGGGAUCCCGAGCUUGUCAAGCGGAUUGGUGAAGCAACUGCUCUAGAAGUCAGGGCCACAGGCAUUCCUUAUGUUUUUGCGCCCUGUCUUGCAGUGUGCAGGGAUCCGAGAUGGGGCCGCUGCUACGAGAGCUACAGUGAGGACCCUAACACUGUUAGAGCUAUGACGGAAAUCAUUCCUGGUUUGCAGGGAGAGUUGCCUCCUUCCUCAAGGAAGGGUGUCCCUUUUGUUGACGGAAAUCACCAUGUAGCUGCCUGUGCUAAGCAUUAUGUUGGUGAUGGCGGUACCCACAAUGGAAUUAAUGAGAACAAUACCAUUAUCAGCCGUCAUGGCUUGCUUAAAAUCCACAUGGCUCCUUACUAUCAAGCUGUUAAAAAAGGCGUGGCAACCGUCAUGGUUUCUUACUCAAGUUGGAACGGGAAGAAAAUGCAUGCAAGUCGUGACUUGGUUACCGGUUACCUCAAGAAUCAUCUUAAGUUUAGGGGCUUUGUUAUUUCAGAUUGGCAGGGCAUUGACAAGAUCACCUACCCAAUAGAUGCAAACUAUACAUACUCGGUACAAGCUGGAAUCCUGGCUGGUAUUGACAUGGUUAUGGUUCCACUUAACUACACAGAAUUCAUUGAUGACUUAACCUACCUGGUUAAAUCUGGGGUCAUCCCAAUGAGCAGAAUAGAUGAUGCAGUUCGCAGGAUUUUGCGAGUCAAGUUCACCAUGGGCCUGUUUGAAAAUCCGUUUGCUGAUUACAGUCUGGUUAAUGAGCUUGGCAGCCAGGCUCAUAGAGAACUUGCUAGGGAAGCAGUGAGGAAAUCACUUGUCCUACUUAAGAAUGGGAAACAAGAUGAGAAACCCUUGCUGCCCCUGGACAAGGCGGCUCCUAAGAUCCUUGUUGCUGGAACCCAUGCUGACAACUUGGGCUACCAAUGUGGAGGAUGGACAAUUGAAUGGCAAGGUGUUUCUGGAAAUAAUGUCACUAAAGGAACAACUGUUCUCAGCGCCGUGAAGUCAACAGUGAACCCCGAGACUGAAGUCGUAUUCGAAAACAAUCCUGAUGCUGAUUUUGUCAAGAAAGGUGGCUUCGCUUAUGCUGUUGUGGUUGUUGGCGAGCCUCCUUAUGCAGAAACAGCUGGUGAUAGCAAGAACCUGACCAUCCUGGAGCCUGGUCCUUCUGUUAUCCAGAAUGUGUGUGGGUCUGUUAAGUGCGCAGUGGUCAUCAUCUCAGGCAGGCCUGUAGUCAUGGAGCCAUACGUAUCAAAAAUUGAUGCAUUAGUCGCCGCAUGGUUGCCAGGAACAGAAGGCCAAGGCAUUGCAGAUGUGCUUUUUGGUGACUAUGGCUUUACUGGCAAGCUGCCACGGACUUGGUUCAGGAGUGUUGAUCAGCUGCCAAUGAAUGUUGGUGACAAGCACUACGAUCCACUGUUUCCGAUUGGUUUUGGCCUGACGACGUCCCCAGCGAGGUAGAGGAGGCUUUUGCUUGGUUUCAAGCAUUUAUCUUUGAAGCCUGGUCUAAGUCGAAGUAUCUUUACAGCAUCCCGCUGAAAAAGAAGCACUUCCAACUAUAAGAACAUAUAGAGGUCGUCUUCAUCUGGUGACAACAAAAUGUAUACUGUGGUGCCAUUCGUUGCCAUCACAUUGUUACUGCAUGUCUUUGUUUAGGUAC
Nymphaea colorata (pocket water lily) is the source of this 2230-nucleotide RNA transcript. RefSeq lists it as uncharacterized. NCBI's taxonomy places the organism in Eukaryota, Viridiplantae, Streptophyta, Magnoliopsida, Nymphaeales, Nymphaeaceae. The record is from RefSeq and is a predicted model, not a curated record. The transcript is spliced from 11 exons.